UACAGAGGUCUCAAGCGUUGUUCGGAUUCAUUGGGCGUAAAGGGUGUGUAGGUGGCGCCGUAAGUCGGGUGUGAAAUUUCGGAGCUUAACUCCGAAACUGCAUUCGAUACUGCGGUGCUUGAGGACUGGAGAGGAGACUGGAAUUCAUGGUGUAGCAGUGAAAUGCGUAGAGAUCAUGAGGAAGACCAGUGGCGAAGGCGGUUCUCUGGGACGGUACUGACGCUGAGACGCGAAAGCGUGGGGAGCGAACAGG
RNAcentral lists this ribosomal RNA (253 nucleotides) under uncultured bacterium. Its description in RNAcentral is "partial 16S ribosomal RNA". It matches the Rfam family "Bacterial small subunit ribosomal RNA", at positions 524 to 776 of the family's 1533-position model. The record is from RNAcentral.